CGUACCAGAUUCCAUAAUAUUGUUUGAUCAAAUGGGUUGAGAUCUUCCGAUUGAUGUGUAUUUUUAGAAGUGAAUUUCUCUGUUGAUGGGGAUACAAAGAAAACAAUGAAGAGAAAAAAAUAUACGCUCAAUUGGGGACCAUGAUACGUUUAUAAAGAAAACUGCCUUGUGAAGAAACUGUUAAAAGGCAGUUAUUAUCUGUUAGUAUUUUUAAAUUGGCCCCUCAUCAAUUUAAAAUUACAAGUCUGAUCUCUACACAUUAAUUCCAUGACAAACAUACCCUUAAGCCUACUUAAAAUUUAAUUAGAUCACUUAAAUUUAGGCCUAUACAUGAUAACACACAUUAAUAAUAUACAUGUGUGGUCCCAAUUAAAAUUAAUAAAAAUUAAUCCAACAUAUAGUUUGUGUUCAUACUCGAGACAGGAGGGAAAAACUAAAGAAGAGAACGACAGAAAAAGUUGUGAUGUCAUUCUAGUGACU
This 480-nucleotide long non-coding RNA is filed under the name Panax ginseng (ginseng). RNAcentral describes it as "long non-coding RNA (PGIN_LNC014549)". The record is from RNAcentral. Lineage: Eukaryota; Viridiplantae; Streptophyta; Magnoliopsida; Apiales; Araliaceae.